CCUACGGGAGGCAGCAGUGGGGAAUUUUGCGCAAUGCUCGUAAGAGUGACGCAGCGACGCCGCGUGAAUGACGAAGGCCUUCGGGUCGUAAAGUUCUUUCGACAGGGAAGAAAAUGCCUAUAAGUAACUGUGUAUGUAUUGACGGUACCUGUAUAAGCAGCCCCGGCUAACUCCGUGCCAGCAGCCGCGGUAAUACGGAGGGGGCGAGCGUUGUUCGGAGGGACUGGGCGUAAAGAGCACGUAGGCGGUGUUGUAAGUCAUUAGUCAAAGACUAGAGCUCAACGUUAGUAAGGCUAGUGAUACUAUAAUACUAGAGUAUCAGAGAGGAGUGCAGAAUGCCUGGUGUAGCGGUGAAAUGCGUAGAUAUCAGGAGGAAUACCGUUAGCGAAGGCGGCAAUCUGGCUGGAAACUGACGCUGAGGUGCGAAAGCGUGGGUAGCAAACAGGAUUAGAUACCCCUGUAGUC
Molecule: ribosomal RNA, 465 nt
Filed under: uncultured bacterium
Lineage: Bacteria
Description: partial 16S ribosomal RNA
Rfam family: Bacterial small subunit ribosomal RNA
Source: RNAcentral